RNAcentral lists this ribosomal RNA (655 nucleotides) under uncultured bacterium. RNAcentral describes it as "bacterial SSU rRNA". It matches the Rfam family "Bacterial small subunit ribosomal RNA", at positions 59 to 686 of the family's 1533-position model. The record is from RNAcentral.
CAGUCGACGCUUCUUUUUCCACCGGAGCUUGCUCCACCGGAAAAAGAGGAGUGGCGAACGGGUGAGUAACACGUGGGUAACCUGCCCAUCAGAAGGGGAUAACACUUGGAAACAGGUGCUAAUACCGUAUAACAAUCGAAACCGCAUGGUUUUGAUUUGAAAGGCGCUUUCGGGUGUCGCUGAUGGAUGGACCCGCGGUGCAUUAGCUAGUUGGUGAGGUAACGGCUCACCAAGGCCACGAUGCAUAGCCGACCUGAGAGGGUGAUCGGCCACAUUGGGACUGAGACACGGCCCAAACUCCUACGGGAGGCAGCAGUAGGGAAUCUUCGGCAAGGGACGUAAGUCUGACCGAGCAACGCCGCGUGAGUGAAGAAGGUUUUCGGAUCGUAAAACUCUGUUGUUAGAGAAGAACAAGGAUGAGAGUAACUGUUCAUCCCUUGACGGUAUCUAACCAGAAAGCCACGGCUAACUACGUGCCAGCAGCCGCGGUAAUACGUAGGUGGCAAGCGUUGUCCGGAUUUAUUGGGCGUAAAGCGAGCGCAAGCGGUUUCUUAAGUCUGAUGUGAAAGCCCCCGGCUCAACCGGGGAGGGUCAUUGGAAACUGGGAGACUUGAGUGCAGAAGAGGAGAGUGGAAUUCCAUGUGUAGCGGUGAAA